This 224-nucleotide unclassified non-coding RNA is filed under the name plant metagenome. RNAcentral's name for it is "partial contains small subunit ribosomal RNA, internal transcribed spacer 1, and 5.8S ribosomal RNA". The record is from RNAcentral.
UCUCCGUUGGUGAACCAGCGGAGGGAUCAUUACAGGACUCGCAAGACUCCUUCACCCUGUGAACCUCACUACAAGCACGUUGCUUUGGCGGGUGUCCCGGCGGGGGUUUUCCCUCGCCGGGGCGCACAGCCCGCCGGCAGCCUACUAUACUCUGUCUCUUUGCGUUGGCAUCUCGAGAAAAAACAAACAAGUUAAAACUUUCAACAACGGAUCUCUUGGUUCUG